Molecule: non-coding RNA, 885 nt
Organism: Hydra vulgaris (swiftwater hydra)
Lineage: Eukaryota; Metazoa; Cnidaria; Hydrozoa; Anthoathecata; Hydridae
Source: RefSeq, a predicted model, not a curated record
CAUGCAAUAACGUUAAAACUAAGUUAACUAAACUAAAAAGUUCUUUUUUGUGUAAUUUUUAUGGAACUUAAUUUUAAUUUUUUCUUGCCUUUUAUUUAUCUUAUUCUUUAGGGAAACAACUAUUUAGUACCAGUAUUAAUUCCAUUAGAUUCAAUUCCAGUCCUUAGAAAACUAGCUGAUUUAAAGAUUAGGAAAAAAGCUGGUAUUUUGGAAAAUAAUCUAUAUCUUUUCCCCAGCACAAAAAAUAGUACCAAUCGUGUUUCAGGUUGGCAUGCACUGCAUUACAUAUGAAUGAAAAUAAAAAACAACUUAAUAAAACCAAAUAAACUUACUGCAACAUCUAAUCGUCACAGAGUAAGCACUCUAUUUGCUAUGUUGAAUUUACCACCACAAUAAAGAGAGCUUUUUUUACCAACAUAUGGGACAUAGUCAAGCCAUUAACCAAAAUGUGUAUCAAGCUCCACCAGCAUUACUAGAAAUACUAAAAGUUGGUAGACAUUUAAUUGAUCUUGAAAAUGGGAUACAAAAGAAUGCUGUCAAUACUGUACCUCAGACAUCAACCAGUGGUUUAUAUUAAAUUUUUUUUAAUUUUUAGUUUUUUAUAUCUUACUUGUGUACUACAUGUAAAUGAACUACAAGUUAAACAGGUGUAGUUAGCAGAUAAUGUUGCAGCUAUCCAGUAAACACACAAACGUCUAUUAAACGUCCAAACAACGUUUCGACAAAGCGUUUAGAUUUCGUUGAUUAUCCGUUUAGAAUGAAUUCCAGAUUAACGUUUGGAACAAACGUUCAUAAAACAUGUAUAUUCAAACGUAUUUUAGACGUCUAUUAAAGGAAUAUUAUACGUAUGUAAAGCAUUUAGAUUUGGUCUAAUUUACGUUUAAA